AGAGUUUGAUCCUGGCUCAGAACGAACGCUGGCGGCGUGCUUAACACAUGCAAGUCGAACGAGAAGUACGUAGCAAUACGUAUUGUAAAGUGGCGCACGGGUGAGUAACACGUGGGUAAUCUGCCCUUGAGUUUGGGAUAACCCCGCGAAAGCGGGACUAAUACCGGAUAAGACCACGGGGACCAAAGUCCCUGAGGUAAAAGAUGGCCUCUAUUUAUAAGCUAUCACUUGAGGAUGAGCCCGCGGCCCAUUAGCUAGUUGGUAGGGUAAUGGCCUACCAAGGCGAUGAUGGGUAGCUGGUCUGAGAGGACGAUCAGCCACACUGGAACUGAGACACGGUCCAGACUCCUACGGGAGGCAGCAGUGGGGAAUAUUGCGCAAUGGGCGAAAGCCUGACGCAGCAACGCCGCGUGGGGGAUGAAGGUUUUCGGAUUGUAAACCCCUUUCGAUCGGAACGAAUCUCCUCCUGGUAAAUAAUCAGGAGGAUCGACGGUACCGAGAGAAGAAGCCACGGCUAACUCUGUGCCAGCAGCCGCGGUAAGACAGAGGUGGCGAGCGUUGUUCGGAUUUAUUGGGCGUAAAGCGAACGCAGGUGGUUUGGUAAGUCAGGGGUGAAAGUCCACAGCUUAACUGUGGCAAUGCCUUUGAUACUGCCUUUCUUGAGUGCAUGAGGGGGAAGCGGAAUUCCGAGUGUAGAGGUGAAAUUCGUA
Molecule: ribosomal RNA, 710 nt
Filed under: uncultured bacterium
Lineage: Bacteria
Description: bacterial SSU rRNA
Rfam family: Bacterial small subunit ribosomal RNA
Source: RNAcentral